RNAcentral lists this transfer RNA (74 nucleotides) under Subtercola boreus. RNAcentral's name for it is "tRNA-Gly". It matches the Rfam family "tRNA". Rfam says of the family: Transfer RNA (tRNA) molecules are approximately 80 nucleotides in length. Their secondary structure includes four short double-helical elements and three loops (D, anti-codon, and T loops). Lineage: Bacteria; Bacillati; Actinomycetota; Actinomycetes; Micrococcales; Microbacteriaceae. The record is from RNAcentral. RNAcentral also lists the same sequence under 2 other names.
GGGGAUGUAGCUCAAUGGUAGAGCCUCAGUCUUCCAAACUGAUGACGCCAGUUCGAUCCUGGUCAUCCCCUCCA